GACGAACGCUAGCGACGUGCCUAAGAAAUGCAAGUUGAGCGAGGUCUAGGCUUCGGCCGAAAACCUAGCAGCGAACGGUCGCGUAACACGUAAGCAACCUGCCCUAAAGUGGGGGAUAGCCCUCCGAAAGGAGGAUUAAUACCGCAUGUGAACAGUUUUACGCAUGUUUUACUGUUUAAAGUAGCAAUACGCUUUAGGAUGGGCUUGCGGCCUAUCAGCUAGUUGGUGAGGUAACGGCCCACCAAGGCGACGACGGGUAGCUGGUCUGAGAGGAUGGUCAGCCGGACUGGGACUGAGACACGGCCCAGACUCCUACGGGGGGCAGCAAUUAGGAAUCUUGCGCAAUGGGCGAAAGCCUGACGCAGCGACGUCGCGUGACUGAUGAAGUCUUUCGGGAUGUAAAGGUCUUUUCUGAAGGAAGAAGAAUGUGACGGUACUUCAGGAAUAAGCCCCGGCUAACUACGUGCCAGCAGCCGCGGUAAGUCUCGCGUGA
This 493-nucleotide ribosomal RNA is filed under the name uncultured bacterium. RNAcentral describes it as "bacterial SSU rRNA". It matches the Rfam family "Bacterial small subunit ribosomal RNA", at positions 28 to 532 of the family's 1533-position model. The record is from RNAcentral.